RNAcentral lists this ribosomal RNA (241 nucleotides) under Salmonella enterica subsp. enterica serovar Infantis. RNAcentral's name for it is "partial 16S ribosomal RNA". It matches the Rfam family "Bacterial small subunit ribosomal RNA", at positions 1 to 240 of the family's 1533-position model. RNAcentral also lists the same sequence under 5 other names. The record is from RNAcentral. Lineage: Bacteria; Pseudomonadati; Pseudomonadota; Gammaproteobacteria; Enterobacterales; Enterobacteriaceae.
AAAUUGAAGAGUUUGAUCAUGGCUCAGAUUGAACGCUGGCGGCAGGCCUAACACAUGCAAGUCGAACGGUAGCACAGAGAGCUUGCUCUCGGGUGACGAGUGGCGGACGGGUGAGUAAUGUCUGGGAAACUGCCUGAUGGAGGGGGAUAACUACUGGAAACGGUGGCUAAUACCGCAUAACGUCGCAAGACCAAAGAGGGGGACCUUCGGGCCUCUUGCCAUCAGAUGUGCCCAGAUGGGA